ACGGAUUGUUUCCAGAUAAUAACUUUAGUAUAAGUAAAUAGAAAUCAAUAAAAUGUUAACACAAUGUUUAUAACCACAAAAGAAAGGUUGGGAUUGAUUUUGGGGGUUAUGGUUCCUAAGGUUUAGGAAUUAGGGGCCCAAAGGGCCCAAAACAAGCAUUUAUCUAGUGUCAGGACAAUAAGUUGUGUAUAAGUAUUUCAAUUGUUCUGAAAUUGUACCACAAUGUUUAAUACUAUAAGUAGAAGGUUGGGAUAUAUUUUUAAGGGUUAUGGGGCAAACAGUCUAGGAAUAAAGGGCCAAAAAGGGGCCAAAAACAAGCAUUUUUGUAGUUUCAAGGCAAUAAAUUGGGCUUAUCUUUCUUUGUCCAGAAUGGUUGUUGAAUCACCUCAAACCAAUGCUUUAUGGAAUAUUCUUUGAAAAUUAGAGUUAUCUUUCUUUGUCCAGAAUAGUAGUUGAAUCAACUUAAAUCAUUGCUAUAUACAAUAUACAAUGCAAUAUUCACUUUUACUACCAACUGAUAAAUUAAAACAAUCUUUACCGUUCAGUGAUUACAAACACUUUGAAUACCAUUCUAGGGUUAUG
Molecule: long non-coding RNA, 582 nt
Filed under: Mytilus galloprovincialis (Mediterranean mussel)
Lineage: Eukaryota; Metazoa; Mollusca; Bivalvia; Mytilida; Mytilidae
Source: RNAcentral